UACGUAGGGUGCAAGCGUUGUCCGGAAUUAUUGGGCGUAAAGAGCUCGUAGGCGGUUCGUCACGUCGGCUGUGAAAUCCCGAGGCUCAACCUCGGGUCUGCAGUCGAUACGGGCGGACUUGAGUACUGCAGGGGAGACUGGAAUUCUCGGUGUAGCGGUGAAAUGCGUAGAUAUCGAGAGGAACACCUGCGGCGAAGGCGGGUUGCUGGGCCGACACUGACGCUGAAGCGCGAAAGCCAGGGGAGCGAACGGG
Molecule: ribosomal RNA, 253 nt
Filed under: uncultured bacterium
Lineage: Bacteria
Description: partial 16S ribosomal RNA
Rfam family: Bacterial small subunit ribosomal RNA
Source: RNAcentral